GCUCAGAGGAUCUUCCCAAAGGCAAGCCCCAGAGGCCUUCACAAAAGAAACAAACUACGUUCACUGAGAAACAACUGGAAGAUCUGAACUUGUUCAAUAAGAACGUAUACCCAAACCCCAGCCUUCAGAAAGAUAUGGUCUCCAAAAUGGAAAUAGAUCCAAAAGUACUGUAGGUUUGGCUCAAAAACCUUGGAGCAAAACUCAAGAAAGCCAAAUGCAAGCAUAUUUGGCAAAAACAAGAAGCUCAACAGAGGGUAGACUCAAGACCAAUCCUUCUCAGGGAAAUAUGGACACACUACCCACAUCCCCAAAUGAGGCCCAUCCUAGAGUUUACACAGAUCAUCAGGCACCCUCAUUCCAACUAAACUUAGGCCCCAGUGGUAGGGACCCUAUAGACCACCCCAGUGGCCCCAAAAUAGUUCAUUUUGGCUGCUGCCAAGAUCUGAACAUAUACGGCUUCUAGACACUUCAGAAUCCCAAGUUCAUUCUCCAAGCUUCCAUUUUAAUUCUUUUGGUUCCUCAUCUCUACAAAAUAGAGA
This 539-nucleotide long non-coding RNA is filed under the name Homo sapiens (human). RNAcentral describes it as "non-protein coding lnc-RIPPLY3-3:1". Lineage: Eukaryota; Metazoa; Chordata; Mammalia; Primates; Hominidae. The record is from RNAcentral.